CCUACGGGGGGCAGCAGUAGGGAAUAUUGCUCAAUGGGGGAAACCCUGAAGGAGCAACGCCGCGUGGAGGAUGAAGGUUUUCGGAUUGUAAACUCCUUGUGGUAGAGAAGAGAAGGACGGUAUCUAACGAAUAAGCACCGGCUAACUCCGUGCCAGCAGCCGCGGUAAUACGGAGGGUGCAAGCGUUACUCGGAAUCCCUGGGCGUAAAGAGCGCGUAGGCGGGUUAGCAAGUCAGAUGUGAUAUCCUAUGGCUUAACCAUAGAACUGCAUUUGAAACUGUUAUUCUAGAGUAUGGGAGCGGUCGGUGGAAUUCUUGGUGUAGGGGUCAAAUCCGU
RNAcentral lists this ribosomal RNA (336 nucleotides) under uncultured bacterium. Its description in RNAcentral is "partial 16S ribosomal RNA". It matches the Rfam family "Bacterial small subunit ribosomal RNA", at positions 338 to 691 of the family's 1533-position model. The record is from RNAcentral.